RNAcentral lists this ribosomal RNA (253 nucleotides) under uncultured bacterium. Its description in RNAcentral is "partial 16S ribosomal RNA". It matches the Rfam family "Archaeal small subunit ribosomal RNA", at positions 474 to 727 of the family's 1478-position model. The record is from RNAcentral.
UACCAGCACCCCGAGUGGUCGGGACGAUUAUUGGGCCUAAAGCAUCCGUAGCCGGUCAUGCAAGUCUUCCGUUAAAUCCAGCCGCUCAACGGUUGGGCUGCGGAGGAUACUACGUGGCUAGGAGGCGGGAGAGGCAAGCGGUACUCAGUGGGUAGGGGUAAAAUCCUUUGAUCCAUUGAAGACCACCAGUGGCGAAGGCGGCUUGUCAGAACGCGCUCGACGGUGAGGGAUGAAAGCUGGGGGAGCAAACCGG